RNAcentral lists this ribosomal RNA (492 nucleotides) under uncultured bacterium. RNAcentral describes it as "partial 16S ribosomal RNA". It matches the Rfam family "Bacterial small subunit ribosomal RNA", at positions 29 to 507 of the family's 1533-position model. The record is from RNAcentral.
AGUGAACGCUGGCGGUAGGCCUAACACAUGCAAGUCGAACGGCAGCACAGUAAGAGCUUGCUCUUACGGGUGGCGAGUGGCGGACGGGUGAGGAAUACAUCGGAAUCUACUUUUUCGUGGGGGAUAACGUAGGGAAACUUACGCUAAUACCGCAUACGACCUACGGGUGAAAGCAGGGGAUCUUCGGACCUUGCGCGAUUGAAUGAGCCGAUGUCGGAUUAGCUAGUUGGCGGGGUAAAGGCCCACCAAGGCGACGAUCCGUAGCUGGUCUGAGAGGAUGAUCAGCCACACUGGAACUGAGACACGGUCCAGACUCCUACGGGAGGCAGCAGUGGGGAAUAUUGGACAAGGGGCGCAAGCCUGAUCCAGCCAUACCGCGUGGGUGAAGAAGGCCUUCGGGUUGUAAAGCCCUUUUGUUGGGAAAGUAAAGCAGCAGGUUAAUACCCCGCUGUUCUGACGGUACCCAAAGAAUAAGCACCGGCUAACUUCGUG